Molecule: ribosomal RNA, 300 nt
Filed under: uncultured bacterium
Lineage: Bacteria
Description: bacterial SSU rRNA
Rfam family: Bacterial small subunit ribosomal RNA
Source: RNAcentral
GGAUUAGAUACCCUGGUAGUCCACGCCGUAAACGAUGAUCACUAGAUGUUGGCUUUGCUUAGCAAGGUCAGUGUCGUAGCUAACGCGAUAAGUGAUCCGCCUGAGUAGUACGGUCGCAAGAUUAAAACUCAAAGGAAUUGACGGGGGUCCGCACAAGCGGUGGAACAUGUGGUUUAAUUCGACAUUACGCGAGAAACCUUACCUAGGCUUGACAUGUAUUUGACCGCCAUGGAAACAUGGUUUUCCAAGUUUACUUGGACAGAUACACAGGUGCUGCAUGGCUGUCGUCAGCUCGUGCCG